AGUGAACGCUGGCGGUAGGCCUAACACAUGCAAGUCGAACGGCAGCACAGGAGAGCUUGCUCUCUAGGUGGCGAGUGGCGGACGGGUGAGGAAUACAUCGGAAUCUGCCCAGUCGUGGGGGAUAACGUAGGGAAACUUACGCUAAUACCGCAUACGACCUUCGGGUGAAAGAGGGGGAUCGCAAGACCUCUCGCGAUUGGAUGAGCCGAUGUCGGAUUAGCUAGUUAGCGGGGUAAUGGCCCACCAAGGCGACGAUCCGUAGCUGGUCUGAGAGGAUGAUCAGCCACACUGGAACUGAGACACGGUCCAGACUCCUACGGGAGGCAGCAGUGGGGAAUAUUGGACAAUGGGCGCAAGCCUGAUCCAGCCAUACCGCGUGGGUGAAGAAGGCCUUCGGGUUGUAAAGUCCUUUUGUUGGGAAAGAAAUCUUUCAGGCUAAUACCCUGGGAGGAUGACGGUACCCAAAGAAUAAGCACCGGCUAACUUCGUG
Molecule: ribosomal RNA, 490 nt
Filed under: uncultured bacterium
Lineage: Bacteria
Description: partial 16S ribosomal RNA
Rfam family: Bacterial small subunit ribosomal RNA
Source: RNAcentral